RNAcentral lists this ribosomal RNA (440 nucleotides) under uncultured bacterium. Its description in RNAcentral is "partial 16S ribosomal RNA". It matches the Rfam family "Bacterial small subunit ribosomal RNA", at positions 338 to 795 of the family's 1533-position model. The record is from RNAcentral.
CCUACGGGUGGCAGCAGUGGGGAAUAUUGCACAAUGGAGGAAACCCUGAUGCAGCGACGCCGCGUGAGUGAAGAAGUAAUUCGUUAUGUAAAGCUCUAUCAGCAGGGAAGAAAAUGACGGUACCUGAGUAAGAAGCCCCGGCUAACUACGUGCCAGCAGCCGCGGUAAUACGUAGGGGGCAAGCGUUAUCCGGAUUUACUGGGUGGAAAGGGAGCGUAGACGGCAGUGCAAGUCAGGAGUGAAAGGCGGGGGCUCAACCCCCGGACUGCUCUGGAAACUGUACGGCUGGAGUGCAGGAGAGGCAAGUGGAAUUCCUAGUGUAGCGGUGGAAUGCGUAGAUAUUAGGAGGAACACCAGUGGCGAAGGCGGCUUACUGGACUGUAACUGACGUUGAGGCUCGAAAGCGUGGGGAGCAAACAGGAUUAGAUACCCUGGUAGUC